Molecule: ribosomal RNA, 404 nt
Filed under: uncultured Mitsuokella sp.
Lineage: Bacteria; Bacillati; Bacillota; Negativicutes; Selenomonadales; Selenomonadaceae
Description: bacterial SSU rRNA
Rfam family: Bacterial small subunit ribosomal RNA
Source: RNAcentral
UGGGGAAUCUUCCGCAAUGGGCGAAAGCCUGACGGAGCAACGCCGCGUGAGUGAUGACGGCCUUCGGGUUGUAAAGCUCUGUGAUCGGGGACGAACGGUCAGCAGACGAAUACUCUGCUGAAGUGACGGUACCCGAAUAGCAAGCCACGGCUAACUACGUGCCAGCAGCCGCGGUAAUACGUAGGUGGCAAGCGUUGUCCGGAAUUAUUGGGCGUAAAGGGAGCGCAGGCGGGAAGGUAAGUCUAUCUUAAAAGUGCGGGGCUCAACCCCGUGAGGGGAUGGAAACUAUCUUUCUUGAGUGCAGGAGAGGAAAGCGGAAUUCCUAGUGUAGCGGUGAAAUGCGUAGAUAUUAGGAGGAACACCAGUGGCGAAGGCGGCUUUCUGGACUGUAACUGACGCUGAGG